RNAcentral lists this transfer RNA (74 nucleotides) under Enterococcus durans. Its description in RNAcentral is "tRNA-Ile". It matches the Rfam family "tRNA". Rfam says of the family: Transfer RNA (tRNA) molecules are approximately 80 nucleotides in length. Lineage: Bacteria; Bacillati; Bacillota; Bacilli; Lactobacillales; Enterococcaceae. The record is from RNAcentral.
GUACCCUUAGCUCAGCUGGUUAGAUCAGACGGCUCAUAACCGUCCGGUCGUAGGUUCGAGUCCUACAGGGUACA